GAUGAACGCUGGCGGCGUGCCUAAUACAUGCAAGUCGAGCGAACAGACGAGGAGCUUGCUCCUCUGACGUUAGCGGCGGACGGGUGAGUAACACGUGGAUAACCUACCUAUAAGACUGGGAUAACUUCGGGAAGCCGGAGCUAAUACCGGAUAAUAUAUUGAACCGCAUGGUUCAAUAGUGAAAUACGGUUUUGCUGUCUCUUAUAGAUGGAUCCGCGCCGCAUUAGCUAGUUGGUAAGGUAACGGCUUACCAAGGCAACGAUGCGUAGCCGACCUGAGAGGGUGAUCGGCCACACUGGAACUGAGACACGGUCCAGACUCCUACGGGAGGCAGCAGUAGGGAAUCUUCCGCAAUGGGCGAAAGCUUGACGGAGCAACGCCGCGUGAGUGAUGAAGGUCUUCGGAUCGUAAAACUCUGUUAUUAGGGAAGAACAAAUGUGUAAGUAACUAUGCACGUCUUGACGGUACCUAAUCAGAAAGCCACGGCUAACUACGUG
RNAcentral lists this ribosomal RNA (497 nucleotides) under uncultured bacterium. RNAcentral describes it as "partial 16S ribosomal RNA". It matches the Rfam family "Bacterial small subunit ribosomal RNA", at positions 28 to 507 of the family's 1533-position model. The record is from RNAcentral.